GUCCCCGUAGCUCAGUUGGAUAGAGCAUCUGCCUUCUAAGCAGAGGGUCGGGCGUUCGAAUCGCCCCGGGGACG
Molecule: transfer RNA, 74 nt
Filed under: Candidatus Omnitrophota bacterium
Lineage: Bacteria; Pseudomonadati; Candidatus Omnitrophota
Description: Candidatus Omnitrophica bacterium tRNA-Arg
Rfam family: tRNA
About the family: Transfer RNA (tRNA) molecules are approximately 80 nucleotides in length. Their secondary structure includes four short double-helical elements and three loops (D, anti-codon, and T loops). Further hydrogen bonds mediate the characteristic L-shaped molecular structure. tRNAs have two regions of fundamental functional importance: the anti-codon, which is responsible for specific mRNA codon recognition, and the 3' end, to which the tRNAs corresponding amino acid is attached (by aminoacyl-tRNA synthetases). tRNAs cope with the degeneracy of the genetic code in two manners: having more than one tRNA (with a specific anti-codon) for a particular amino acid; and 'wobble' base-pairing, i.e. permitting non-standard base-pairing at the 3rd anti-codon position.
Source: RNAcentral